UGCCACUGGUCCUUUCUCAUGCACACAGCUAAAAAGCAGCCACAAAGCAGGCCGAGCUGUGAUUCCCACCAGACCUGGGAAGGGACCUCCGUGCACCCUCCGCCCCCACCAGAGCACUGGAGCGUGAGGCCUCUAGAAUUUCUGCAGUCCGAAGGGGACUGGAAGACUCCGGCCAGAGCGGGAGAUUGUCAGGCCUGGCUGCUCACUGACUUCUCGAAUCUCUGGGAGGUUUGACAGGAAAUUAAGCCAUUGCGAUGAAGGUGCUCUGGUCACAGAGAAGAGAAAAGGGACUAACACAGAAAGGUCCAAACCCGGGCAGUCCUGGCCGAGAACCCAACCUGCUGGUUUAAUGACCACCACACCUCUGACACUAACUGCCUCUAUACUGUUGUGUUGGAAAGAGGGAACGGAUGACAGGAGAAGAAGAAGCUUUCCCACAGUGCUCACCUCUGGCAGCCUCUCUGAUGAUGUCACACUGCCAACGGACCAGAACCUGGGAAUGGUCCGACCGUCACGGUCUGUGCCAUUUGAGGACGGUUUCUUCUGAAGGGCCAACAUGAGGACGGUGUGAAGGUCUGAACGGAGGAGCAUGGAGGUCAUCCUUCUUCCUCUGGAGAAUGAGACAACCAGAAAUUAAAAUCCCAUCAUUUUGUUGAUCGAUUGAGAGGGUCCUGUGACUAGAGACAGAGCCUUAGACCUCCAUUUCCUUCGCUGCGGAAGGGAACCGCAGGCCCCAUCUGACAGGAUGAAGUAAGCGUGACCUGGGGCUCUACAGCAGGCAGGAAGGCUGGCCCCGCAUCCCUCUA
This is a long non-coding RNA of Arvicola amphibius (Eurasian water vole), 806 nucleotides long. RefSeq lists it as uncharacterized. The transcript is spliced from 3 exons. The record is from RefSeq and is a predicted model, not a curated record. Lineage: Eukaryota; Metazoa; Chordata; Mammalia; Rodentia; Cricetidae.